ACCAAACACUCACAUAUUCACACCCUCAACUCUCUCUCACUCUCUCUCUAAAACCCUUGUAAACCUAAUCUUCUCACCACCACCAUUCUUGCCGUCGGUCACCACCACUCUUUAAAACAAACCACAACAUAACUCUAAAAAUGUCUGCUUACGGUUACGACGGAUAUGGAUCUGCUGGCGGUGCCUACGGUGGUGGAUAUGGAAGCAGUGGUGGCAGUUAUGAAGACAGUGGUGGUGGAGGCGGAUCUUACGGCGAAAACCGUGGUGGAGGCGAUGGUGGUGGAGGAUACGAAGGAGUGGUGGUGGGCAGCGGUAAUCUUACUUACUCGGAUUAUUUGUGAAUUUAUAUAAAUAAUUAAUGAGUAAAAUUACCAAUCUACCCUCAUGUGCAAGGCACAAGUCAUAUUUAACUGAAAAUUUUAACGUUGUUAGGGCCAAAGGACGUAUGGUGUAAUUGGUUUUCCAAAUAAAGGAUUGUAGCUGUAAUUAUUGAAGUUAAAGGGUAUCUAUUGUAAUUCGAUACAAACAUAAAGAACAAAAAAUGUAAUUUACCCUACAAAUGGUAUAAAGAAUAUUAGUUUUUUAAUAA
Helianthus annuus (common sunflower) is the source of this 589-nucleotide long non-coding RNA. RefSeq lists it as uncharacterized. The record is from RefSeq and is a predicted model, not a curated record. The transcript has 2 exons. Lineage: Eukaryota; Viridiplantae; Streptophyta; Magnoliopsida; Asterales; Asteraceae.